GACGAACGCUGGCGGCGUGCUUAACACAUGCAAGUCGAACGGAAAGGCCCUGCUUUUGUGGGGUGCUCGAGUGGCGAACGGGUGAGUAACACGUGAGUAACCUGCCCUUGACUUUGGGAUAACUUCAGGAAACUGGGGCUAAUACCGGAUAGGAGCUCCUGCUGCAUGGUGGGGGUUGGAAAGUUUCGGCGGUUGGGGAUGGACUCGCGGCUUAUCAGCUUGUUGGUGGGGUAGUGGCUUACCAAGGCUUUGACGGGUAGCCGGCCUGAGAGGGUGACCGGCCACAUUGGGACUGAGAUAAGGCCCAGACUCAUACGGGAGGCAGCAGUGGGGAAUAUUGAAAAAUGGGCGGAAGCCUGAUGCAGCAACGCCGCGUGCGGGAUGACGGCCUUCGGGUUGUAAACCGCUUUCGCCUGUGACGAAGCGUGAGUGACGGUAAUGGGUAAAGAAGCACCGGCUAACUACGUG
Molecule: ribosomal RNA, 468 nt
Filed under: uncultured bacterium
Lineage: Bacteria
Description: partial 16S ribosomal RNA
Rfam family: Bacterial small subunit ribosomal RNA
Source: RNAcentral